UACGGGGGGGGCAAGCGUUGUUCGGAAUUACUGGGCGUAAAGGGCUCGUAGGCGGCCAACUAAGUCGGAUGUGAAAUCCCCAGGCUUAACCUGGGAACUGCAUCCGAUACUGGAUGGCUUGAAUCCGGGAGAGGGAUGCAGAAUUCCAGGUGUAGCGGUGAAAUGCGUAGAUAUCUGGAGGAAUACCGGUGGCGAAGGCGGCUCACUGGCUCAUUACUGACGCUCAGGCGCGACAGCGUGGGGAUCAAACAGG
RNAcentral lists this ribosomal RNA (253 nucleotides) under uncultured bacterium. Its description in RNAcentral is "partial 16S ribosomal RNA". It matches the Rfam family "Bacterial small subunit ribosomal RNA", at positions 524 to 776 of the family's 1533-position model. The record is from RNAcentral.